RNAcentral lists this ribosomal RNA (205 nucleotides) under uncultured bacterium. RNAcentral's name for it is "partial 16S ribosomal RNA". It matches the Rfam family "Bacterial small subunit ribosomal RNA", at positions 28 to 233 of the family's 1533-position model. The record is from RNAcentral.
GACGAACGCUGGCGGCGUGCUUAACACAUGCAAGUCGAGCGGUAAGGCCCUUUCGGGGUACACGAGCGGCGAACGGGUGAGUAACACGUGGAUGACCUGCCCUCAGCUCUGGGAUACGCCCGGGAAACUGGGUCUAAUACUGGAUAUGGCUCCACGGUGCAUGCCGUGGGGUGGAAAGCCUUGUGCGGCUUGAGGAUUGGGCCCG